Molecule: ribosomal RNA, 1689 nt
Filed under: Triticum aestivum (bread wheat)
Lineage: Eukaryota; Viridiplantae; Streptophyta; Magnoliopsida; Poales; Poaceae
Description: partial small subunit ribosomal RNA
Source: RNAcentral
AUGUCUCGCGACCCAUCCCCAGCCCAGCCCCUCCACGAUCCCCUCCCGGCGCCGGCCACCGUGGCCACGCCGGCCACCAUCACCCCGGGUCCUUGCCUGCUGCCGCCCCCUCCGGCUCGCUUGCCGCUGGACUUCAUCCCACAGGUGGUCCCUGCAGGUGCGUCGUCGUUGCCGGUGCAUGUUGAUGCCAGAUCCAGGUCGCCGAUCCGGUCGCCGCCGUCCCAUGACCGGUCCAUGCGCGAUGCGCCGGUGGAGAUGGUGUCGGAGACGCCGCCGGAGCUCCAGGGCGUCCAGCGGCGGGUCGCAUCCAUCAUCGUCGUCCCGUCGCCUCAAGUCCUCGGCGCCUCGUCCUCUUCCUGCAGCGGCUCUCCAGCGGAUGCGGGGCGUGAUGCAGAUGCGUCUGGCGAGGGAUGGCAGCUCGUGUGCUCCCGGCGUGGCCCGCGCCUCCCGCCUCCUCCUGCACCGGCCUCUGCUCGGCGCCCCCUCCCUGCCUGGCUGCACGGGAGAUGCUGCCGCUGCCUCGCCCCGGGUCAUCGUGCUUUGGUUUGCCGGGAUCCCUUCAGGUGCUCUCGCUGCCUCCAGCCCGGCCACCGUGCUCGCGGAUGUACCAACGCGUGGCGCCCGCUCAGCUCCCUGAAGAUCCUGCGGCGGCCUGCUACAGCUCCCCCCGUGGCUCCCCGGCCACCGACUCGUGGUUGGCCUGCUCCUCCGCAAGCUGAAAUGCCCACCUCGUCAGCAUGGCCUCAACUCGGAGGCGCUGUCCUGCGGAGGGAAGGUCUUGCUGCUACGGAUAUGCUGCACCAAACACCAACCAGCUCUAGUCAUGCGGCGACAGUUUGGCUUGCCGGGGCGCAGUCAGAUGCCUCUUGCAAGGCCGUGGCAGAGGCCCUUGCGUCCGCGAUCGGCGCCAACGUCGUGGAUAUCAGGGUCAUCCGCCAAUUUGUGGAUGCCACCGUCGAUCGUCAAUCUCCGUCCAGGACUAUGCUCCCCUCGCCGUCUUCAUCUGCAUCACGGCCCCCAGGAUUUGAAGCUUCUCCAGUGACGAGCUCUGCCCCACAGACGCCGCCCUUCAUUACCGAUGCUUGCCGCACACCUUGCAGUAUGGCGACUGGUGAUGUUUGUUCCCCUACUACCGAGACGGUCGCUGUCUUCGCUACGCCGCCCCAGACUCCUGGUCCAGCACCUACUCUGCAUGUCACCCCUACAAGUCAGGUGAUGGUUCAUGAAGAGCAGGAACUGCCGGCUGGGUUUGACACCCUGUUUCAGCCGCGUCAGGAGGCCAUCUUGGGCUCCCCUCCAACACUGCAAGGGAAACAACCAGGACGACGUAGAAAGACCAUGGCUGGGAUGUCCAUUGACCAGGAAGGGGCUGCUUUCUCGCUACGGCGCUCCAGUGCUAGGCUACGGGCAAGUGGGCGCGCGCGAAUCGUUCCAGUUCAGAAGGAAGCACAGAAGAUGGUGUGUCGCAGCUUAGGAAUCGUCAAAGAUGGGGAAGAUAUAACGGCGGCGGCUCUGGCUGAGCUUGAGGAGCAGUUCAAGGAAGAAAUCCCUGGCACGGUGUUGGCUGCACUACGUGCCCUCUUCAAGCUCGACGAUGCCCAGGCCAUGGCUGUCGAAGAUGCCAUAAUUGCACAGGGAGGUGCCAAUGGUCUUGAUCAUGAAGAAGAGGUGGCAGCUACUGCUACUUAA